AGUGGCUAUGCAGCUUGGUGGUCUAGAACCACUGUCAGAUGCUGGAGCCCAUGGGGUGGCUGCAAACCAUGGCUGAAUGUUAUGAAAUAGAUGAGUGAUGUUGAACAGCAGCUUGACUCAUUGAAUCUUCACCAGAGCCCUGUGAGGGAACAUCAAUUCUGCAACUGGGUUCAGAUUUACUCUACUGUGGCUGCAAGAAUGUUCUGGGGGCAAGACCUUCAAUCAGCACUUGAUAUGAAGAGAAUAUUCCCAAGUAUUUUAGUGGUAUUUUCAUUCCAUUUUUUAACUUCAGUGAUUACUACUCCU
RNAcentral lists this long non-coding RNA (306 nucleotides) under Vulpes vulpes (red fox). RNAcentral's name for it is "lncRNA (ENSVVUG00000011762.1)". Lineage: Eukaryota; Metazoa; Chordata; Mammalia; Carnivora; Canidae. The record is from RNAcentral.